GAUGAACGCUGGCGGCGUGCCUAAUACAUGCAAGUCGAGCGAACGGACGAGAAGCUUGCUUCUCUGACGUUAGCGGCGGACGGGUGAGUAACACGUGGAUAACCUACCUAUAAGACUGGGAUAACUUCGGGAAACCGGAGCUAAUACCGGAUAAUAUUUUGAACCGCAUGGUUCAAAAGUGAAAGACGGUCUUGCUGUCACUUAUAGAUGGAUCCGCGCUGCAUUAGCUAGUUGGUAAGGUAACGGCUUACCAAGGCAACGAUGCAUAGCCGACCUGAGAGGGUGAUCGGCCACACUGGAACUGAGACACGGUCCAGACUCCUACGGGAAGCAGCAGUAGGGAAUCUUCCGCAAUGGGCGAAAGCCUGACGGAGCAACGCCGCGUGAGUGAUGAAGGUCUUCGGAUCGUAAAACUCUGUUAUUAGGGAAGAACAUAUGUGUAAGUAACUGUGCACGUCUUGACGGUACCUAAUCAGAAAGCCACGGCUAACUACGUG
Molecule: ribosomal RNA, 497 nt
Filed under: uncultured bacterium
Lineage: Bacteria
Description: partial 16S ribosomal RNA
Rfam family: Bacterial small subunit ribosomal RNA
Source: RNAcentral